AUGACUUUGAUCGAUUGGUGGCGGCCAGAGACGCACAACUUCCAUCUUCCAUGUGGGGAGAUAUCGGUUACACUGGAGGAUUGGGGGAUGAUUAUGGGCCUACCGCUCAAGGGUCUUUCUCUCACAGGACUAGUGGAGAGGAAGAAUUGGCACGAUAGGGUUAUCGCCCUCAUUGGCGACUGCCCCCCAGAUAAGAAGAACCGGACUUCCGGUGUCCCACUGCCCUGGCUCCUGAAGUACCCACUACAAAAAAAGACACAUCCGUGA
RNAcentral lists this ribosomal RNA (267 nucleotides) under Triticum aestivum (bread wheat). RNAcentral's name for it is "partial small subunit ribosomal RNA". The record is from RNAcentral. Lineage: Eukaryota; Viridiplantae; Streptophyta; Magnoliopsida; Poales; Poaceae.